RNAcentral lists this ribosomal RNA (876 nucleotides) under uncultured archaeon. RNAcentral's name for it is "bacterial SSU rRNA". It matches the Rfam family "Archaeal small subunit ribosomal RNA", at positions 1 to 880 of the family's 1478-position model. The record is from RNAcentral.
UUCCGGUUGAUCCUGCCGGAGGUUACUGCUAUCGGGGUCCGACUAAGCCAUGCGAGUUGAAUGUCCGAAAGGGCAUAGCGUACUGCUCAGUAACACGUGGACAACCUGCCCUGAGGACUGGAAUAAUCCCGGGAAACUGGGGGUAAUUCCAGAUAUGUCAGAACACCUGGAAUGGGUUCUGGCAGAAAUGCUCCGGCGCCUCAGGAUGGGUCUGCGGCCUAUCAGGGUAGUAGUGGGUGUAACGUACCUACUAGCCUACGACGGGUACGGGUUGUGAGAGCAAGAGCCCGGAGAUGGAUUCUGAGACAUGAAUCCAGGCCCUACGGGGUGCAGCGGCGCGAGAACUUUACAAUGCGGGCAACCGCGAUAAGGGGACCUCGAGUGCUGGGUUACAAACCUGGCUGUUGGGCUGCCUAAAAAGCAGUCUAUAGCAAGGGCCGGGCAAGACCGGUGCCAGCCGCCGCGGUAACACCGGCGGCUCGAGUGGUAACCGCUGUUAUUGGGUCUAAAGGGUCUGUAGCCUGCCGGCUAAGUCUCUUGGGAAAUCUGGCAUCUCAAGUGUCAGGCUGCCAGGGGAUACUGGCCGGCUUGGGACCGGGAGAGGUGAGAGGUACCUCAGGGGUAGGGGUGAAAUCUUGUAAUCCUUGAGGGACCACCAGUGGCGAAGGCGUCUCACCAGAACGGAUCCGACGGCAAGGGACGGAAGCUAGGGGCACGAACCGGAUUAGAUACCCGGGUAGUCCUAGCCGUAAACGAUACUCGCUAGGUGUCGGCCACGGUGCGACCGUGGUCGGUGCCGUAGGGAAGCCGUGAAGCGAGCCACCUGGGAAGUACGGCCGCAAGGCUGAAACUUAAAGGAAUUGGCGGGGGAGCACA